UACGGAGGGAGCUAGCGUUGUUCGGAAUUACUGGGCGUAAAGCGCACGUAGGCGGCUUUGUAAGUUAGAGGUGAAAGCCCGGGGCUCAACUCCGGAACUGCCUUUAAGACUGCAUCGCUAGAAUUGUGGAGAGGUAAGUGGAAUUCCGAGUGUAGAGGUGAAAUUCGUAGAUAUUCGGAAGAACACCAGUGGCGAAGGCGACUUACUGGACACAUAUUGACGCUGAGGUGCGAAAGCGUGGGGAGCAAACAGG
RNAcentral lists this ribosomal RNA (253 nucleotides) under uncultured bacterium. Its description in RNAcentral is "partial 16S ribosomal RNA". It matches the Rfam family "Bacterial small subunit ribosomal RNA", at positions 524 to 776 of the family's 1533-position model. The record is from RNAcentral.